RNAcentral lists this ribosomal RNA (561 nucleotides) under Bacillus sp. PASKW134. Its description in RNAcentral is "bacterial SSU rRNA". It matches the Rfam family "Bacterial small subunit ribosomal RNA", at positions 79 to 622 of the family's 1533-position model. Lineage: Bacteria; Bacillati; Bacillota; Bacilli; Caryophanales; Bacillaceae. The record is from RNAcentral.
UCGAUGCUCCCUGAAGUCAGCGGCGGACGGGUGAGUAACACGUGGGCAACCUGCCUGUAAGACUGGGAUAACUUCGGGAAACCGGAGCUAAUACCGGAUUUCACCGAGGACCUCAUGGUCCUUGGUUGAAAGAUGGCUUCGGCUAUCACUUACAGAUGGGCCCGCGGCGCAUUAGCUAGUUGGUGAGGUAACGGCUCACCAAGGCGACGAUGCGUAGCCGACCUGAGAGGGUGAUCCCGGACACUGGGACUGAGACACGGCCCAGACUCCUACGGGAGGCAGCAGUAGGGAAUCUUCCGCAAUGGACGAAAGUCUGACGGAGCAACGCCGCGUGAGCGAUGAAGGCCUUCAAAUCGUGGGGCUCUGUUGUUAGGGAAGAACAAGUACCGUUCGAAUAGGGCGGUACCUUGACGGUACCUAACCAGAAAGCCACGGCUAACUACGUGCCAGCAGCCGCGGUAAUACGUAGGUGGCAAGCGUUGUCCGGAAUUAUUGGGCGUAAAGCGCGCGCAGGCGGUUCCUUAAGUAGUCUGUGAAAGCCCACGGCUCAACCGUGGAGGG